This 500-nucleotide ribosomal RNA is filed under the name uncultured bacterium. RNAcentral's name for it is "partial 16S ribosomal RNA". It matches the Rfam family "Bacterial small subunit ribosomal RNA", at positions 30 to 523 of the family's 1533-position model. The record is from RNAcentral.
AUUGAACGCUGGCGGAAUGCUUUACACAUGCAAGUCGGACGGCAGCACGGACUUCGGUCUGGUGGCGAGUGGCGAACGGGUGAGUAAUGUAUCGGAACGUGCCCAGUCGUGGGGGAUAACGUAGUGAAAAUUACGCUAAUACCGCAUACGAUCUAUGGAUGAAAGCGGGGGAUCGCAAGACCUCGCGCGAUUGGAGCGGCCGAUAUCAGAUUAGGUAGUUGGUGGGGUAAAGGCCCACCAAGCAAACUAUCUGUAGCUGGUGUGAGAGGACGACCAGCCACACUGGAACUGGGACACGGUCCAGACUCCGACGGGAGGCAGCGGUGGGGAAUUUUGGACAAUGGGCGAAAGCCUGAUCCAGCCAUUCCGCGUGCAGGAUGAAGGCCCUCGGGUUGUAAACUGCUUUUGUACAGAACGAAAAGGUUUCUACUAAUACUAGGAGCUCAUGACGGUACUGUAAGAAUAAGCACCGGCUAACUACGUGCCAGCCGCCGCAGUAA